Molecule: RNase P RNA, 417 nt
Filed under: Corynebacterium atypicum
Lineage: Bacteria; Bacillati; Actinomycetota; Actinomycetes; Mycobacteriales; Corynebacteriaceae
Description: bacterial RNase P
Rfam family: Bacterial RNase P class A
About the family: Ribonuclease P (RNase P) is a ubiquitous endoribonuclease, found in archaea, bacteria and eukarya as well as chloroplasts and mitochondria.
Source: RNAcentral
UGAGUCGGCUAACGGGAGCCGCGGCGCAGCGAACCGGCAGAGUCUUCUGCUAGGCGCACACGUCGAGGAAAGUCCGGACUCCACAGAGCACGGUGGUUGCUAACGGCAACCCGGGGUGACCCGAGGGCACGUGCAACAGAGAGGAGACCGCCACGCCGCUCGGCGUGGUAAGGGUGAAAGGGUGCGGUAAGAGCGCACCGGCGGGCCAGGUGACUGGCCCGGCCAGGUAAACCCCACCGGGAGCAAGGCACCGAGGUCGCACCACUGGUGCGCCGGGAGCAGGCGUUUUCAGGGCUGCUCGCCCGAUGUCUGCAGGUAGCUGCUCGAGGCGGCCGGCGACGGCCGACCCAGAUGGAUGGUUCCCGCCGCCCGGUUCGACCGGGCGGACAGAAUCCGGCUUAGCGGCCGACUCAUUCG